Molecule: ribosomal RNA, 236 nt
Filed under: uncultured Vibrio sp. HD-2000/12
Lineage: Bacteria; Pseudomonadati; Pseudomonadota; Gammaproteobacteria; Vibrionales; Vibrionaceae
Description: partial 16S ribosomal RNA
Rfam family: Bacterial small subunit ribosomal RNA
Source: RNAcentral
GACCGCCUGGCGGCAGGCCUAACACAUGCAAGUCGAGCGGUAACAGAAAGAAAGCUUGCUUUCUUUGCUGACGAGCGGCGGACGGGUGAGUAAUGCCUGGGAAAUUGCCUUGAUGUGGGGGAUAACCAUUGGAAACGAUGGCUAAUACCGCAUAACGCCUUCGGGCCAAAGAGGGGGACCUUCGGGCCUCUCGCGUCAAGAUAUGCCCAGGUGAGAUUAGCUUGUUGGUGAGGUAA